UCACUACUGCUGUUUGUGUCCAUCGCGCGCACCCUUUCUCUCGUCUUUAAACUUUUGCAGCAUUAUAUGAUUAUUAUACUAUUAUAUGAUUACAGUAUAUAAACAGUUUUAGGUUUACCAACACCUUAGACAAGUCUGUUUAAGGAUUUUUCUUUUCGGAAUCACAGGGGUCGGCUCAGCAGUGAUACAUGAGGGGAGUGUAGAUAACCUUUAAGGCUGUGGUGGAGUGACGUCGCAGAGAGAAGCUGGUCCUGAUUGGCUAAGAUGCAGCUGUCUCAGUUUCCUACCUCCAGUAGCUCCGCCCACUUGUGGUUGCUGAUUAUGGCCCUAAUACCCACACAAUCAGUUAUAGGGG
This is a long non-coding RNA of Gadus morhua (Atlantic cod), 355 nucleotides long. RefSeq lists it as uncharacterized. The record is from RefSeq and is a predicted model, not a curated record. The transcript is spliced from 3 exons. NCBI's taxonomy places the organism in Eukaryota, Metazoa, Chordata, Actinopteri, Gadiformes, Gadidae.